Non-coding RNA from Xyrichtys novacula (pearly razorfish), 1360 nucleotides. NCBI's taxonomy places the organism in Eukaryota, Metazoa, Chordata, Actinopteri, Labriformes, Labridae. The record is from the annotation of a GenBank genome assembly.
UGUGGCCUUAAAUGUCUUUAGAGAGGGGAAACAUUGUCAAGCGGUUGAGAUACGGCAGUGCGGGUUGCUCUUUUUCAACGUGUGCUCAGCAUCCAUAGGUGUGUGGGACUGUCAGUCGCUGACCUUGGUGCUGAAUAUGCACCAACAAAUCUGGAGGCUGCUGUCGCUCUCCGAGGUGCUGAAGCUCUGAAUGCCACUCUGGGGAAACGGUGGGAGUACUUUGACACCAUUUGUCACGCUUUUGUUUAUUUGAACAAAUCUAAUCAGCAAAUGAAGACACACAGAGCCCCACUUGAUCUGGUGCAGACAAAAAUCUGGUUCUGUUUUCGGCCUGGGUGCACAAAGAGGAGGAGAAUGUUUGUACAGGCUUGCUGUUACAGUAAUUAGCCUUUAUUGCGCUUCAGCUCUCCAGCUGCUCUAACCUAUACCUAUACCUGUAUGUAGGUCAGGUGGCACUUACUGAGUCACCUCAUGACUGUGACUGCCACAGGGGGAAGAAAAAGCUCAACACUGUCCUCAUCCUAUCACAUGGAAACACAGGAGAUGAUAGGAGCAAGGACACUAGAAGAAAAAUAAAAGUAUCAAGUUAUUCCAAAUAGUCAGAUAUUACGCUUUUGUAAGUUACGAGCACAGAUACUCAAAAACACCUGUUUUUUUUCUCAUCACUGGUCAUGUAGGCUGGAGCACCUCUUAAGGAAUAUUUUUAGCUGUAAGUGGUACAUUUAGUUUCUCUGCCUCUACAUUAACAAUAAAGUACAGCGUAUUUUGGCUUUUAAAAUCACAAAGACCCCAUGCUACCUGCUGAUGGCAUGAACAAACAACCGCAAAAUUCAAUCAAAUGUUAUUAUGAUGCAGCUCACCCCAUCUCACCUCCAUUUAUACUUUGUUUCUAUAACUGAUCAUUUGAGGAAAAUUGCAACUCCUAAACGCACAGCAGUGGACGAAAGCAACAAAUAAUUCAUCGAAAUAAGCAAUGAAAAAAUUGUCUUGUUUUCAUGCUCCGGUGGAAGUAAUAUGUAUCUGUAAUCAAGAGCAGAAGAAAGUCAAGUCAGCCUAAUUACUCCCCGUGUAAUGAACCACCUGCUGUGAGAGAGUGUCGCUGAAUGUUUAUGAAGCGAGCUAGAGAUAUUGUGUUCUGUUAUUGUCUUCACCCACAAGCGAAAAACAGAAACAGGGACCACAAACUGAAGAGCACACACAAAAAAAAUGACCUCACAUCACCCAAAAUGAACUUUAAGGUGACUGAAAGCUCAUAAACAAACCAGAUAAUUUGAUUGCCAAAGCGUAAUGACUCAUCUGUGUUUCUUAUUUUCUACUGAUACACUCAAACACACAACCUGCUGCACACAAAUGCACACAC